This 253-nucleotide ribosomal RNA is filed under the name uncultured bacterium. RNAcentral's name for it is "partial 16S ribosomal RNA". It matches the Rfam family "Bacterial small subunit ribosomal RNA", at positions 524 to 776 of the family's 1533-position model. The record is from RNAcentral.
UACGGGGGGGGCAAGCGUUGUUCGGAAUUACUGGGCGUAAAGCGCGCGUAGGCGGGCUUGUAAGUUGAUUGUGAAAGCCCCGGGCUUAACCCGGGACGUGCAGUCAAAACUGCAAGUCUUGAGUGCCUGAGAGGAUGGCGGAAUUCCCGGUGUAGUAGUGAAAUACGUAGAUAUCGGGAAGAACACCUGAGGCGAAGGCGGCUAUCUGGCGGUGCACUGACGCUGAGGCGCGAAAGCGUGGGGAGCAAACAGG